This is a long non-coding RNA of Macadamia integrifolia, 1404 nucleotides long. RefSeq lists it as uncharacterized. NCBI's taxonomy places the organism in Eukaryota, Viridiplantae, Streptophyta, Magnoliopsida, Proteales, Proteaceae. The record is from RefSeq and is a predicted model, not a curated record. The transcript has 5 exons.
CAGGCAGAACUACCCUUGUCCGUAUCCUAUUUAGCUGGAGUUGUGGAGCGAGUUUUCUGCUUAACCUGUCAUUUUGCAAGUUCGUGCCUUGCUCAUUGUUCUAAAUUAACAACUGUAAAAGAUUUGAAAGGUGUAGGUUUUCCAAGUGAAAAGCAUGGGCUUUAUCUAUGUAGCAUGCCUUGAGGAAGUUCGAGUUUAUGGGCACAAACGACAUAUGAAUACUUCCUUGACGUUCACAGAGUGAAAGAGGAAUUGAAUCAGCGGCUGAAGAAAUAAGAAAUGACAAAGCACUUAAAGAAGGGAUAUUCACCAAGGUUAUAGGCAAUGAUACCGACGGUCGAGUACACCCUAGUUGGGGUUGGAGUAAGCCCAAAAGACUGGGCUAAAAAAAAAGCGCCGUAAUACAAAGUUGCAGUGUCAAGUAGCAGGAUUGAAGCAAGAAAUGGCAAAAGAAAGAAGAUGAAGGAAGAUUUGGCAGAAGAAAGAAACCAGAUGAAGCAAGAGAUGGAAGAAGAAAAGAAAAAGAAUGCAGAGGCUCUUUCCAGUAUGUAAUCACAACUAAAAAACCUUGCAAACUCAUGAUGAAUAGAAGCUCACAGGAUUCAAAUAUUUUCGGUUAAUAAGGCAAUUGCAGAGGCUGGCUAGUAGUCUUCUAACCUCAUACAGUUGCUAUGUUAUAGCAUGCUGAUGGGAGUGGAGGCUGGUAGCAGCAAACAGGAGCAGAAAGGCUUCUUCUUUGGUGCGUGGUUUUAACAGAUGACAAAGCAGGUGGGUGGCUGAACCUGGGAAGUUUCCCUUUGUAAGGGAUGACAGAGGGAGGUUUGAGUAGCAAGACUUGCUUAGAGCCUCAUCUGAAGUCUUGGGCAAUGGAUCUUUUUGGGUCUUCUUGUAAGGAUGUUCUGACUACUGGGAAAGCCAUGGUUGAGAAGAGGUUCAGGCAUAAGAACAAAGUGGACAGGGAAGAUUUUCAAGAGCAAAUGAGAGAAGGCUUGGGAGAUUUAGAAAAACUUGGGCUCUGGUCCCUUGAUACUGUCAGUAAUGGGGGAAAGUAAACUGCUCAGAGCUGGAUGAUGGAUUUGAUCCCAAGCAACUUCUAUUGGUGGUUAUCAUGAGUUUAAUCUGUGUCCCACCACGACGGCGGAGAGUGGUCACUGUAGAUCACCUGUCUUGAUAGAUGCCUCCUUUUCCAUCUUCAUUUCUUUUUUCUUUAUUUUCAUAGUCAAAAGCUUUUAGAAGAACCUCUUAUCCCAGCCAUUCACCUCCAAGGCCCAACACUCUCUUCUUUUUUCUCCGAGACUCAUUACAAGUUGAGAGAGAAGCUUCUGUGCCAUGGCACUUUGUUUAAAAACAAUGGAAAUCUUAUUUCCUCUAUCAGAGGUAGCAAAUUUGAAUUUUGUUGUAUCA